AGUCUGAUAGCCACACUCAGCCACCAUGGGAACUGCUCCUUUCCUCUAGAUAAACUAUAUGAAGAAACUGAGACAAAGAGGUUAAUGAUCUCUCCAAGAGCACACGGUGGCAGGACUCGAACUCCGGCAGCCUGGUUCCAGAGACCACUCUACAUCUGUUUUUGAUGUUAGCUUCUGAGCUGUCUUCCAUUGGCCACUCUUUUGCUAUCUUUAUAUGUAUAUUAGAGGAUAUGUAAUAGACAUUAUACAAUUACAAGUUAUUCAUCAAUGCAUCAUUGUAAGAAUUUAGUUACUAUAAAAAUAUAUAGAAUGAAAAAUGAAAGUCUUCUAUUAUCUCUCUACCCCAAUUCUAAUUCCAUCCCUACAGGAAACAGUUUGUUGCGUGUUCUUCCAGAUUUCGAUCCAUGCAUUUACUUAUAAAGAUAGACAUGAAUAUUUACUAGUUUUAAAAAAGUAUUUGCAAAAAUGAGACUAUACUAUAUGUUUUCCCACAAGUUAGCAUUUUUCACUUAAUAAUGUACUUGGGAAUUAGGGAGACUGAGCUUUUUAUUUCAGAAAAUACAGAUCUGCAUCAUUCUAGUUAAUAACAACAUAACAUUCCAUAAGGUGGAAAUAUGAUAUUGACUGACUUUCAGGUUGUUUCCUAUUUUUAUUAUUAUAGAACAUGAUACAAUUAGUAUUCCUGUAUGAAUAUCUUUGUAAACAUGUAAACAAGUCUUCCUAUAAAACAAAUUUCUAUAGGUUGAAUUGUCAGGUCAAAGGAUAUGGUCACUUGAAAUGUUAAGUACUGACAAAUUUUUUUUCCAAAAAGACUGCAUUAUUCAAAUUCCAUCAAUAAUGUAUCAGAAAUUUCAUUUUUUUAUUGCUUUCCAUCACUUGAUGUUAUCGGAAAUAAAUUUUGCCCAUCAAAUGGGAAA
Myotis myotis is the source of this 917-nucleotide long non-coding RNA. RefSeq lists it as uncharacterized. The transcript is spliced from 2 exons. NCBI's taxonomy places the organism in Eukaryota, Metazoa, Chordata, Mammalia, Chiroptera, Vespertilionidae. The record is from RefSeq and is a predicted model, not a curated record.